CAAUAGCGUAUAUUAAAGUUGUUGCGGUUAAAAAGCUCGUAGUUGGAUUUCUGCCGAGGACGACCGGUCCGCCCUCUGGGUGUGUAUCUGGUUUGGCCUGGGCAUCUUCUUGGAGAACGUAGCUGCACUUGACUGUGUGGUGCGGUGUCCAGGACUUUUACUUUGAGGAAAUUAGAGUGUUUCAAGCAGGCACACGCCUUGAAUACAUUAGCAUGGAAUAAUAAGAUAGGACCUCGGUUCUAUUUUGUUGGUUUCUAGAGCUGAGGUAAUGAUUAAUAGGGAUAGUUGGGGGCAUUCGUAUUUAACUGUCAGAGGUGAAAUUCUUUGAUUUGUUAAAGACGGACUACUGCGAAAGCAUUUGCCAAGGAUGUUUUCAUUGA
RNAcentral lists this ribosomal RNA (380 nucleotides) under uncultured eukaryote. RNAcentral's name for it is "partial 18S ribosomal RNA". It matches the Rfam family "Eukaryotic small subunit ribosomal RNA", at positions 592 to 976 of the family's 1831-position model. The record is from RNAcentral.